CUUCGCACGCGAUGCCGGAAGCGAGACAAUACAAUUGCGCCUCGCGGCGCUCCAUCUCCCCUCGGGAUUUUCGAGGGUGAGCCGAAACCCAACCCGCGCCAUCGGCGCGCGGGGACGCAUCUCUAUGCGCGCUGUUUGAAAUUUAAAUCUGAAAGGACGUCAUUGGUCGCUGAACGCACCCGCAUAUUCAAUGUCAUGGCCGGGCUUGUCCCGGCCAUCCCGAUAACGAAGGCACCGUG
This 239-nucleotide unclassified non-coding RNA is filed under the name Hevea brasiliensis (rubber tree). Lineage: Eukaryota; Viridiplantae; Streptophyta; Magnoliopsida; Malpighiales; Euphorbiaceae. The record is from RNAcentral.